RNAcentral lists this unclassified non-coding RNA (344 nucleotides) under Hevea brasiliensis (rubber tree). The record is from RNAcentral. Lineage: Eukaryota; Viridiplantae; Streptophyta; Magnoliopsida; Malpighiales; Euphorbiaceae.
GGAUCUUCUAAACUCACGUAGAACAAGUCACCAAUAUGAAAAGAAGCACGUAGCUCAAAUGGUUGAUCCCUAGAAAUUCAGCAUGUUUAGUACUCCUGUUCUAAUAUGGAAAUUCUGAACAUUCAAAGCAAGAAUCAGCCAACAAUUUUACCAGGCAAUGAGUUAUGCACUAGCCUCUUUCUGAAAAACCAAGCUUUAAACCCCUCUCCUGGAGUCAUUAUCAUCCAAAAGUCUCUGAACCCUCUUCUUACCACAAUACUGCCUAUCAAAAUGCUUAACCCAAGUAGGUCUACAUUGUUUCACAUAUUCCUCCCUGGUUUUCUUGCAUUCAACAGGGUAUAAAA